Peromyscus leucopus (white-footed mouse) is the source of this 1196-nucleotide long non-coding RNA. RefSeq lists it as uncharacterized. The record is from RefSeq and is a predicted model, not a curated record. NCBI's taxonomy places the organism in Eukaryota, Metazoa, Chordata, Mammalia, Rodentia, Cricetidae. The transcript is spliced from 2 exons.
CCAGGGGAUCUGACACCCUCAUACCAAUGCACAUAAAAUAAAGUUAAGUCAAUUAUUUGGAAAAAGAAAAAAGAUUAUAGCUUUGUAUUGGGAAUUCCAAGGGCAAGUAAGGGUGACUGUUAACAUUGGUAUACUAACUCUGGCCAUGAGGUCCAUGAGAAGUUCCAGUCCGGUCCUCAGAAUGUAUAUUUUUUUAAUAUUGCAUCACCAUGAGAGGGCUGAGGACUAAUGUUAAAUAUUAUUUAUUAAAACAAUGCCUACUGGUACAUACAGAAAAUGGACUGAUGAAAUGGAACAGAGCCUAGAUAAAGAGCUAAGUCCACAAAGAUACUAGAGAUCUGUCUUAUCUACAUGUAGCCUCAAACUAGUCAUGGAAAAGAUGGGCUGUUCAGGAACAACCAGGUUAUCCUCUAGGGAAGAUAAGGGUGGUUUCUUAACCUGUAUUUUGUCCUAGGAUCCAUCCCAAAGGAUCAGAAUUUAAAAAGCAAAACCAUCAAUGAAAAUCAGAAAAACAAAUACUGGUGGAUUAACUGUCUUGGUCUGAAGUGAGGAAGACAUUCUAUGAGUUAAUACAGAAAUCACCAAAGAACUGGUAAAUCAGACCAUACAACAGCAUGAUAAAACCAUUAGAGCAAAGCCAAAAAACCAAUUGGAAGAAUAUGCCACUCCUCACACUUACGGAUUCAUCCUUCUAACAGGUGAGGUUCUAAUGGCCAUGUGGUAAAAGUGGACAAAGUUCAGGAAACUCCUUCCUGUAUUAAAAGUUGUUCAUUUUAUAUAGUUAGGCAGCAAAUGAAUAUUUUAAAUUUAUAUUCUAUCAGAACAUCUGAGUCUAGCAUUUGAAUGCCGUCUCUGAUGGUAAUGUGGGUGAGCAAGCACUGUCCAUCGGAAGAUGGUAUGUGAACUGGAGGGCAGCGUCUGAGUCAGUGCCUUUCCAAACUCUGUGUGUGUAGUGUUUCACUUUUGAAUACUUACUGUAGAGAUGUACGUAUACAAACAUGUAAUGACAUGUGGACAAGGUCUAGAAACCACCCAAAUGCCCGAGAAUGGUACUGCUCAACUAAAUAAUGACAGCCACAGUAAGGAUACCAAGCAACCACUAAAGUGAAAAAGCUAUCUGGUGAUAUGUGGCCAUUGAAUAUUAGGUGAUAAAAAGCAGAUGGUGUGUAUGUGAUGUCACUCCAAGUAAAGACAGA